This is a non-coding RNA of Glycine soja, 112 nucleotides long. The record is from Rfam. Lineage: Eukaryota; Viridiplantae; Streptophyta; Magnoliopsida; Fabales; Fabaceae.
UUCUCCCAUUGGAGACAUCUAAGACAAUUGGAACUAUAUAGAGAAGAUCAGCAUGCCCUAUGCCCUGUGCAAGGAUGACUGACAGACAAACUGAGAAAUUAUCCAAAUUUUU